RNAcentral lists this ribosomal RNA (447 nucleotides) under uncultured bacterium. RNAcentral describes it as "partial 16S ribosomal RNA". It matches the Rfam family "Bacterial small subunit ribosomal RNA", at positions 29 to 523 of the family's 1533-position model. The record is from RNAcentral.
AACGAACGCUGGCGGCAGGCUUAACACAUGCAAGUCGAACGCUCCGCAAGGGGAGUGGCAGACGGGUGAGUAACACGUGGGAACAUGCCCAAAGGUACGGAAUAUUCUCGGGAAACUGGGAGCAAUACCGUAUGUGCCCGAAAGGGGAAAGAUUUAUCGCCUUUGGAUUGGCCCGCGUCAGAUUAGGUAGUUGGUGGGGUAAUGGCCUACCAAGCCGGCGAUCUGUAGCUGGUCUGAGAGGACGACCAGCCACACUGGGACUGAGACACGGCCCAGACGCCUACGGGAGGCAGCAGUGGGGAAUCUUGGACAAUGGGCGCAAGCCUGAUCCAGCCAUGCCGCGUGGAUGAUGAAGGCCCUAGGGUUGUAAAAUCCUUUCGUUGGGGACGAUAAUGACGGUACCCAAAGAAGAAGCUCCGGCUAACUUCGUGCCAGCAGCCGCCGUAA